CCUACGGGGUGCAGCAGUGGGGAAUAUUGCACAAUGGGGGAAACCCUGAUGCAGCGACGCCGCGUGAGCGAUGAAGUAUUUCGGUAUGUAAAGCUCUAUCAGCAGGGAAGAAAAUGACGGUACCUGACUAAGAAGCCCCGGCUAACUACGUGCCAGCCGCCGCGGUAAUACGUAGGGGGCAAGCGUGAUCCGGAUUUACUGGGUGUAAAGGGAGCGUAGACGGCGGUGCAAGCCAGCUGUGAAAGCCCGGGGCUCAACCCCGGGACUGCAUUUGGAACUGUGCUGCUAGAGUGUCGGAGAGCCAGUCGGCAUUCCUAGUGUAGCGGUGAAAUGCGUAGAUAUUAGGAGGAACACCAGUGGCGAAGGCGGCCUGCUGGACGAUGACUGACGUUGAGGCUCGAACGCGUGGGGAGCAAACAGGAUUAGAUACCCCGGUAGUC
This 440-nucleotide ribosomal RNA is filed under the name uncultured bacterium. RNAcentral describes it as "partial 16S ribosomal RNA". It matches the Rfam family "Bacterial small subunit ribosomal RNA", at positions 338 to 795 of the family's 1533-position model. The record is from RNAcentral.